UGGCUCAGUGGUAGAGCGCUUGCCUUGCAUGCAGGAGACCCUGGGUUCGAUUCCUCAG
This 58-nucleotide transfer RNA is filed under the name Dipodomys ordii (Ord's kangaroo rat). It matches the Rfam family "tRNA", at positions 8 to 63 of the family's 71-position model. From Rfam's summary of the family: Transfer RNA (tRNA) molecules are approximately 80 nucleotides in length. Lineage: Eukaryota; Metazoa; Chordata; Mammalia; Rodentia; Heteromyidae. The record is from Rfam by way of RNAcentral.